Molecule: ribosomal RNA, 254 nt
Filed under: uncultured bacterium
Lineage: Bacteria
Description: partial 16S ribosomal RNA
Rfam family: Bacterial small subunit ribosomal RNA
Source: RNAcentral
UACGGAGGGUGCAAGCGUUAUCCGGAUUCACUGGGUUUAGAGGGUGCGUAGGUGGGAAUGUAAGUCAGUGGUGAAAUCUCCGUGCUUAACAUGGAAACUGCCAUUGAUACUAUGUUUCUUGAAUUUUUCUGGAGGUCAGCGGAAUAUGUCAUGUAGCGGUGAAAUGCUUAGAUAUGACAUAGAACACCAAUUGCGAAGGCAGCUGACUACAGGGAUAUUGACACUGAGGCACGAAAGCGUGGGGAUCAAACAGG